CACUGACGCAGUGAAUACUCGCCAAGCGCACACGGCUGGCUCUUUCUUCCUCUCUUGGCAUUGCCAUUGCAUUUCUGCCUUGGACAGAAGAAAGAUGACGGCGUUUCUCUAAGGACGGGAGCUCUGCUGCUCUGUGUCACGUGUGAGAGCAUGGGGGUGCAGUUUUAGAUAUACCGCGUCAGGAGCAGGGGUAAGUAAGGGUGGGUCUCCCGCGGCACCAGGAGCUGUCCUUCUGCCUCGGUCCAGCGCACCCUCGGAACCUAACUGGGAAAGACAAACUCUCUCCAUGAUGCGUGGGACCUCAGUGAUGGUGAACAGAGGCGCUCACCCUCCUCGUGACCCCUGGCCCCAGGACUGCUGGGUCACUCAGCAGCCUUCUGAAGUCGAGUCCUCUUCUCCCCACACCCCGUCUCCGUCCCCUCUGGCCCGUGUCCCUGCUCCUCGUUGUGGUGUUUGUCUUUUGAAGUCCCUUUCCAGACCUUUGUCCUCAGAGUGGGCCAGGCUGGAAGGCCUCGGGGGAGGCCAGAACUGGGGCCCACUGCCUCUUGUCAUUUCUGCUAGAGGAUCAAAGGUCAGAGACCAGGGUCUUCAGCGGAGGAGCAAAGGUUAGAGAGAGAGUCGCUUUAGACGCCCUUAGCCCUUCUACAAAUCGCAUUACCCCCCCAUCAGACAGCUGGGGUGGCUGCUGGGGAGGGAGCCUGUGGUUCUCCCUUUACACCUAAGGCUCCCAUCCGUAUAUAGCAGUACUCUUCUUUCCAGAUGUCCACCAUAUUGUCCUCAGUUAAGGAAAAGAAAACGAGAGCAUGUGUGGCUUAAUAUUUAACAAGACUCAGAGCUUGGCAGAAGCCCUGGGGCCCCGCAAUCUGUGUGACCUGAACCUGGGACUUCUGGGCUCCCCUGGGGUUUGUGACACAGGUCGAAGGAGAUCCUUCCAAAAGUCCAAAGGACAGUGACAAUGUCCACGUGUCUGGUGCCCUCCCCUGCAGGCAGGGCAGCUGGCUGAUCUGCAGCAGAAGCAGGUGGUGGGGCUGAGCGGGCUGGACUCCAGUUCUAGUGAGUCAUUCCCCAGUCGGUUUUCAGCUCCGUCGACACACCAGGGGGCACUGGGGACAGCCACUUGGCUCUGGGAAACUGUGGAGGGUGUGGUUACUGCGGCAGCCGCUGUCGGUGUGACUGGAUAGGGCACAGUCUCUCUGUCCUUGUAGUGACAAGGAGACGGCCACGGCCCCCACUGUCCCCUCUCCCGACUGUUCCCUGUUUGUUGAUGCCCCACUGUGGCUCAGGAGGGGCUGGUGGAGACGGGAGAGGGAGAGGAAGGGAGAGGGGGUUGCAUCAGUCUUAUCCCCAGGCCACACCCACAGCAGCACAGCCCCUGCCCGGACACGGGUAGGCACCAUGGGGAAAAGGCCAGGUGACCAGGGCAGGACGGCAGCCCUCAGAACCCUCCCAUAAUUCCUUGUGGCUAUUCAGGGUGAUGCAUCCUGAAUGGGGGUCUGCUGUGCCUUCUGGAGGGACCUCCGACUAGCCUACAAUCAUCAGGAUUUAGUGGUCAUCUGUGGCCUCCUGCAUGCAAAGUCCUCUCUGGACCAGAACUCAUGUCAGAUCCCAGUAAACUCCCACUCACCUGAAACAAGCCUUAAGAAUGUUUUUACAUUUGAUUCAUCCGAGAGAACUUUUCAUAAACUAUGCAAAUAAAUGUGCACUUAUUUAAAAAUCAUAUUGCAGUUGUCACAUCCCAAGAUCAUCAGCUCAAAUGAACGUCACCAGAUCCCACUUCCUGUACUUAGUAGCUGUGGGACCUUGGGCACGUCACUGAAUGGACCUAAAUCUCAGUUUCCUCGAUUGUAAAAUGCAGAUGGUAACCCGCCCCACAGGGCCCAGAUGGUAACCCGCCUCACAGGGUCCAGAUGGUAACCCUCCCCUCAGGGUCCAGGUGGUAACCCGCCCCACAGGGCCCAGAUGGUAACCCGCCCCUCAGGGUCCAGGUGGUAACCCGCCCCUCAGGGUCCAGGUGGUAACCCGCCCCUCAGGGUCCAGAUGGUAACCCGCCCCACAGGGUCCAGGUGGUAACCCACCCCUCAGGGUCCAGGUGGUAACCCACCCCUCAGGGCCCAGGUGGUAACCCGCCCCACAGGGCCCAGAUGGUAACCCGCCCCUCAGGGUCCAGGUGGUAACCCGCCCCUCAGGGUCCAGGUGGUAACCCGCCCCUCAGGGUCCAGAUGGUAACCCGCCCCUCAGGGCCCAGAUGGUAACCCGCCCCACAGGGCCCAGGUGGUAACCCGCCCCUCAGGGCCCAGGUGGUAACCCGCCCCACAGGGUCCAGGUGGUAACCCGCCCCUCAGGGUCCAGGUGGUAACCCGCCCCUCAGGGUCCAGGUGGUAACCCGCCCCUCAGGGUCCAGA
RNAcentral lists this long non-coding RNA (2402 nucleotides) under Marmota monax (woodchuck). Lineage: Eukaryota; Metazoa; Chordata; Mammalia; Rodentia; Sciuridae. The record is from RNAcentral.